CUACGGGCGGCAGCAGUGGGGAAUACUGCACAAUGGGCGCAAGCCUGAUGCAGCCAUGCCGCGUGUAUGAAGAAGGCCUUCGGGUUGUAAAGUACUUUCAGUAGGGAGGAAGGUGGUUAAGUUAAUACCUUAAUCAUUUGACGUUACCUACAGAAGAAGCACCGGCUAACUCCGUGCCAGCAGCCGCGGUAAUACGGAGGGUGCAAGCGUUAAUCGGAAUUACUGGGCGUAAAGCGCAUGCAGGUGGUUUGUUAAGUCAGAUGUGAAAGCCCUGGGCUCAACCUAGGAAUCGCAUUUGAAACUGACAAGAUAGAGUACUGUAGAGGGGGGUAGAAUUUCAGGUGUAGCGGUGAAAUGCGUAGAGAUCUGAAGGAAUACCGGUGGCGAAGGCGGCCCCCUGGACAGAUACUGACACUCAGAUGCGAAAGCGUGGGGAGCAAACAGGAUUAGAUACCCCAGUAGUC
This 464-nucleotide ribosomal RNA is filed under the name uncultured bacterium. RNAcentral's name for it is "partial 16S ribosomal RNA". It matches the Rfam family "Bacterial small subunit ribosomal RNA", at positions 339 to 795 of the family's 1533-position model. The record is from RNAcentral.